Molecule: transfer RNA, 93 nt
Filed under: candidate division WS2 bacterium
Lineage: Bacteria
Also listed under: 1 other name
Description: tRNA-Ser
Rfam family: tRNA
About the family: Transfer RNA (tRNA) molecules are approximately 80 nucleotides in length.
Source: RNAcentral
GGAGAGGUGGCUGAGCGGUUGAUGGCACUCGCCUGGAAAGCGUGUAAGGGGAUGACCUCUCCUUCGAGGGUUCGAAUCCCUCCCUCUCCGCCA